This 492-nucleotide ribosomal RNA is filed under the name uncultured bacterium. RNAcentral's name for it is "partial 16S ribosomal RNA". It matches the Rfam family "Bacterial small subunit ribosomal RNA", at positions 30 to 507 of the family's 1533-position model. The record is from RNAcentral.
AGUGAACGCUGGCGGUAGGCCUAACACAUGCAAGUCGAACGGCAGCACAGUAAGAGCUUGCUCUUACGGGUGGCGAGUGGCGGACGGGUGAGGAAUACAUCGGAAUCUACUUUUUCGUGGGGGAUAACGUAGGGAAACUUACGCUAAUACCGCAUACGACCUACGGGUGAAAGCAGGGGAUCUUCGGACCUUGCGCGAUUGAAUGAGCCGAUGUCGGAUUAGCUAGUUGGCGGGGUAAAGGCCCACCAAGGCGACGAUCCGUAGCUGGUCUGAGAGGAUGAGCGGCCGCACUGGAGCGGAGACAGGGGCGAGAGUGGUACGGGAGGCAGCAGUGGGGGGUGGUGGGCGAGGGGGGGAAGCGUGGUGCAGCCAUACCGCGUGGGUGAAGAAGGCCUUCGGGUUGUAAAGCCCUUUUGUUGGGAAAGAAAAGCAGCAGGUUAAUACCCCGCUGUUCUGACGGUACCCAAAGAAUAAGCACCGGCUAACUUCGUG